AAGUGACUGAUUCUCGGCUGCCGAGAAAACCCUCUAAGCAUAGGUACAUUCGAACCGUACCUCAAACCGACACAGGGGGGUGAGAAGAGAAUUCUAAGGCGCUUGAGAGAAACCACGUUAAGGAACUCUGCAAAUUGCGUCCGUAACUUCGGGAGAAGGACUGCCGACAUUAGGUGAGGCGACUUGCUCGCUAAGCUGAAGUCGGCCUCAGAAAAGAGGCCCAUGCGACUGUUCACCAAAAACACAGCACUAUGCAAACACGCAAGUGGAAGUAUAUGGUGUGACUCCUGCCCGGUGCCGGAAGGUUAAGAGGAGGGGUUAGCUUCGGCGAAGCUCUGAAUAGAAGCACCGGUAAGCGGCGGCCGGAACUGUAACGGUCCUAAGGGAGCGAAAUUCCUUGUCGGGUAAGUUCCGACCUGCACGAAAGGAGUAACGAUAUGGGCGCUGUCUCAACGUGGUUCUCAGCGAAAUUGAAGUAGCGGUGAAGAUACCGUUAACCCGCGGCAAGACGGAAAGACCCCGUGAACCUUUACUGCAGCUUGGCAUUGAAUUUUGGAAUAUUGUGUGCAGGAUAGGUAGGAGACUUUGAAAGGGAGACGCUAGUCUUCCUGGAGUCACUGUUGAGAUACUACCCUCGGUAUUUUAAGGUUCUAACUUAGGUCCCUUAUCGGGAUUAAGGACAGUGUCUGGUAGGCGGUUUGACUGGGGCGGUCACCUCCCAAAGAGUAACGGAGGUGCGCUAAGGUUCCCUCAGGCUGAUUGGAAACCAGCCGAAGAGUGCAAAGGCAUAAGGGAGCUUGACUGCGAGUGCGACGGUACGAGCAGGUACGAAAGUAGGUCUUAGUGAUCCGGUGGUUCUGAAUGGAAGGGCCAUCGCUCAACGGAUAAAAGGUACUCCGGGGAUAACAGGCUGAUACCGCCCAAGAGUUCAUAUCGACGGCGGUGUUUGGCACCUCGAUGUCGGCUCAUCACAUCCUGGGGCUGAAGUCGGUCCCAAGGGUAUGGCUGUUCGCCAUUUAAAGUGGUACGCGAGCUGG
This 1037-nucleotide ribosomal RNA is filed under the name Aestuariibacter sp. Its description in RNAcentral is "partial 23S ribosomal RNA". It matches the Rfam family "Bacterial large subunit ribosomal RNA", at positions 1588 to 2608 of the family's 2925-position model. Lineage: Bacteria; Pseudomonadati; Pseudomonadota; Gammaproteobacteria; Alteromonadales; Alteromonadaceae. The record is from RNAcentral.